GAGUUUGAUCUUGGCUCAGAUUGAACGCUGGCGGCAGGCCUAACACAUGCAAGUCGAGCGGUAGAGAGAAGCUUGCUUCUCUUGAGAGCGGCGGACGGGUGAGUAAUGCCUAGGAAUCUGCCUGGUAGUGGGGGAUAACGCUCGGAAACGGACGCUAAUACCGCAUACGUCCUACGGGAGAAAGCAGGGGACCUUCGGGCCUUGCGCUAUCAGAUGAGCCUAGGUCGGAUUAGCUAGUUGGUGAGGUAAUGGCUCACCAAGGCGACGAUCCGUAACUGGUCUGAGAGGAUGAUCAGUCACACUGGAACUGAGACACGGUCCAGACUCCUACGGGAGGCAGCAGUGGGGAAUAUUGGACAAUGGGCGAAAGCCUGAUCCAGCCAUGCCGCGUGUGUGAAGAAGGUCUUCGGAUUGUAAAGCACUUUAAGUUGGAGGAAGGGCAGUAAAUUAAUAACUUUGCUGUUUUGACGUUACCGACAGAAUAAGCACCGGCUAACUCUGUGCC
Molecule: ribosomal RNA, 505 nt
Filed under: uncultured bacterium
Lineage: Bacteria
Description: bacterial SSU rRNA
Rfam family: Bacterial small subunit ribosomal RNA
Source: RNAcentral